GCACACGGUGGCACAGUGGUUAGCACUACUGCCUCACAGCAAGAAGGUCACGGGUUCGAUUCCAGCCUGGGGCU
Non-coding RNA from Gymnothorax javanicus (giant moray), 74 nucleotides. The record is from the annotation of a GenBank genome assembly. NCBI's taxonomy places the organism in Eukaryota, Metazoa, Chordata, Actinopteri, Anguilliformes, Muraenidae.